Molecule: long non-coding RNA, 1361 nt
Filed under: Rattus norvegicus (Norway rat)
Lineage: Eukaryota; Metazoa; Chordata; Mammalia; Rodentia; Muridae
Description: long non-coding RNA NONRATT023327
Source: RNAcentral
GCGAGUGUGAAACCGCGUGUUAAUGUAAGCGGCGCAAGAGGCGCGGGCGGCGGCAGGAGCAGCGGCGGGGACCCCGCGUCCCGGGGCAGGAGCCGGGACUCGCCUUCGACGUGGCCCUCUGUGGAGGGAGGCAGAGCGGCAGCGUGCUCUCCGUCGCGCGGACGUUUGCCUCCGGGUCGUGAGAGAACUUUGCGCCGGCUGGAGCUGGUCAGCCCUUUGCUUAGAGCCGAGGAGGGGAAGGCAGGCUCUAGGAGUGUUAGAGCCGGGUAAAGCGCCCGGCGGCCUGAUGCCCGGGGCAGGGGCGCGGCGGGCGGCCAAAGAGCUGCACCGCGAGCAGUAGCCGUGGACUGGAGGAAGAGCGCAUACUGGCGUGACCCUGCCUGGACCCUGCUUGGGCUCCGCAGCUUCAAGCCGCGCCGGAGACUCUGCAACGCCGGUCGACGAGCCGGGGGUAACCCGGAGCACACCGUCGUGGGAGCGGGUGACCUCCCGACCCGAGAAGCGGCGCUCGCCUCUGGCUGUCUACGUGGGUUUUAGCCAAGGCGCCACCUGCACAGCCGCCGACGCAGGGAGGAGACACACAGCCCCCCUGCAUCCGUGAGCCACCGAAGGGAGCGCACCCCGGGCACCGGGUGGAGGGCCGCGGUAGGUCCGGGCGCCCCCGCUGCUCAGACUCCCAGGCGCGGGGCCGAGCCGCCCGCAAUGUGGCCCUGAGGGCGGGGGCCGCACCCGUCGCGCCCUGGCCUUGCAUCCCGAGCGCCCCGUGCGCCGGCCUGCUGCGCUGCUUCGCGUUCCUCGGUGGAAUUCAAGUUGGAAGUGGCGCGGAGGAUAGAGCUAUCCCGGAACAGAGCCGCGGCUGCUGCCAGAGCGAUGUUCCCUCAGAGCCGGCACCCAACGCCGCACCAGGCUGCAGGCCAGCCCUUUAAGUUCACUAUCCCGGAGUCCCUGGACCGGAUUAAAGAGGAAUUCCAGUUCCUGCAGGCGCAGUAUCACAGUCUUAAAUUGGAGUGUGAGAAAUUGGCAAGUGAAAAGACAGAAAUGCAGAGACACUACGUGAUGUAUUAUGAAAUGUCAUAUGGAUUAAACAUUGAAAUGCAUAAACAGACCGAAAUCGCCAAGAGAUUGAAUACCAUUUGUGCACAAGUCAUCCCAUUUCUGUCUCAGGAACAUCAACAACAGGUGGCCCAGGCUGUCGAACGUGCCAAACAGGUGACCAUGGCAGAGUUGAAUGCCAUCAUCGGGGUACGUGGCCUACCAGGUCUACCUCCUACACAGCAGCAGUUGCAAGCUCAGCAUCUCUCCCAUGGCCAUGGACCCCCAGUACCUCUCACGCCUCACCCUUCAGGACUUCAGCCUCCUGG